Molecule: transfer RNA, 143 nt
Filed under: Colletotrichum cereale
Lineage: Eukaryota; Fungi; Ascomycota; Sordariomycetes; Glomerellales; Glomerellaceae
Description: tRNA-Gly
Rfam family: tRNA
About the family: Transfer RNA (tRNA) molecules are approximately 80 nucleotides in length. Their secondary structure includes four short double-helical elements and three loops (D, anti-codon, and T loops). Further hydrogen bonds mediate the characteristic L-shaped molecular structure. tRNAs have two regions of fundamental functional importance: the anti-codon, which is responsible for specific mRNA codon recognition, and the 3' end, to which the tRNAs corresponding amino acid is attached (by aminoacyl-tRNA synthetases). tRNAs cope with the degeneracy of the genetic code in two manners: having more than one tRNA (with a specific anti-codon) for a particular amino acid; and 'wobble' base-pairing, i.e. permitting non-standard base-pairing at the 3rd anti-codon position.
Source: RNAcentral
GGUUGUGUAGUGUAGUGGUUAUCACUGUAGGUUUCCGAGAAGCACUCCGGCAUCCAUCACGUACUGACUCCCGUCGAGCCGGAUUUUGAUCACACGCCAUCAAGCGUCUUCCGGCAACCCCGGUUCGAGCCCGGGCACGACCU